GAAAGGUGAAAAGUACCCCGGAAGGGGAGUGAAAGAGAACUUGAAACCGUGUGCUUACAAGUAGUCAGAGCCCGUUAAUGGGUGAUGGCGUGCCUUUUGUAGAAUGAACCGGCGAGUUACGAUCUGAUGCAAGGUUAAGCAGCAAAUGUGGAGCCGCAGCGAAAGCGAGUCUGAAUAGGGCGUUGAGUAUUUGGUCGUAGACCCGAAACCAGGUGAUCUACCCUUGGUCAGGUUGAAGUUCAGGUAACACUGAAUGGAGGACCGAACCGACUUACGUUGAAAAGUGAGCGGAUGAACUGAGGGUAGCGGAGAAAUUCCAAUCGAACUUGGAGAUAGCUGGUUCUCUCCGAAAUAGCUUUAGGGCUAGCCUCAAGUGAUGAUUAUUGGAGGUAGAGCACUGUUUGGACGAGGGGCCCCUCUCGGGUUACCGAAUUCAGACAAACUCCGAAUGCCAAUUAAUUUAACUUGGGAGUCAGAACAUGGGUGAUAAGGUCCGUGUUCGAAAGGGAAACAGCCCAGACCACCAGCUAAGGUCCCAAAAUAUAUGUUAAGUGGAAAAGGAUGUGGCGUUGCCCAGACAACUAGGAUGUUGGCUUAGAAGCAGCCAUCAUUUAAAGAGUGCGUAAUAGCUCACUAGUCGAGUGACACUGCGCCGAAAAUGUACCGGGGCUAAACAUAUUACCGAAGCUGUGGAUUGUCCUUUGGACAAUGGUAGGAGAGCGUUCUAAGGGCGUCGAAGCAUGAUCGCAAGGACAUGUGGAGCGCUUAGAAGUGAGAAUGCCGGUGUGAGUAGCGAAAGACGGGUGAGAAUCCCGUCCACCGAUUGACUAAGGUUUCCAGAGGAAGGCUCGUCCGCUCUGGGUUAGUCGGGUCCUAAGCUGAGGCCGACAGGCGUAGGCGAUGGAUAACAGGUUGAUAUUCCUGUACCACCUAGUAUCGUUUUAAUCGAUGGGGGGACGCAGUAGGAUAGGCGAAGCGUGCUGUUGGAGUGCACGUCCAAGCAGUAAGGCUGAGUGUUAGGCAAAUCCGGCACUCAUAAGGCUGAGCUGUGAUGGGGAGAGGAAAUUGUUUCCUCGAGUCGUUGAUUUCACACUGCCGAGAAAAGCCUCUAGAUAGAUAACAGGUGCCCGUACCGCAAACCGACACAGGUAGUCAAGAUGAGAAUUCUAAGGUGAGCGAGCGAACUCUCGUUAAGGAACUCGGCAAAAUGACCCCGUAACUUCGGGAGAAGGGGUGCUCUUUAGGGUUCACGCCCAGAAGAGCCGCAGUGAAUAGGCCCAAGCGACUGUUUAUCAAAAACACAGGUCUCUGCUAAACCGUAAGGUGAUGUAUAGGGGCUGACGCCUGCCCGGUGCUGGAAGGUUAAGAGGAGUGGUUAGCUUCUGCGAAGCUACGAAUCGAAGCCCCAGUAAACGGCGGCCGUAACUAUAACGGUCCUAAGGUAGCGAAAUUCCUUGUCGGGUAAGUUCCGACCCGCACGAAAGGCGUAACGAUUUGGGCACUGUCUCAACGAGAGACUCGGUGAAAUCAUAGUACCUGUGAAGAUGCAGGUUACCCGCGACAGGACGGAAAGACCCCGUGGAGCUUUACUGUAGCCUGAUAUUGAAAUUCGGCACAGCUUGUACAGGAUAGGUAGGAGCCUUUGAAACGUGAGCGCUAGCUUACGUGGAGGCGUUGGUGGGAUACUACCCUAGCUGUGUUGGCUUUCUAACCCGCACCACUUAUCGUGGUGGGAGACAGUGUCAGGCGGGCAGUUUGACUGGGGCGGUCGCCUCCUAAAAGGUAACGGAGGCGCUCAAAGGUUCCCUC
This 1809-nucleotide ribosomal RNA is filed under the name Staphylococcus epidermidis WI09. Its description in RNAcentral is "bacterial LSU rRNA". It matches the Rfam family "Bacterial large subunit ribosomal RNA", at positions 509 to 2323 of the family's 2925-position model. The record is from RNAcentral. Lineage: Bacteria; Bacillati; Bacillota; Bacilli; Caryophanales; Staphylococcaceae.